This 278-nucleotide ribosomal RNA is filed under the name uncultured bacterium. RNAcentral's name for it is "partial 16S ribosomal RNA". It matches the Rfam family "Bacterial small subunit ribosomal RNA", at positions 506 to 784 of the family's 1533-position model. The record is from RNAcentral.
UGCCAGCAGCCGCGGUAAUACGGGAGGGGCAAGCGUUAUCCGAAAUGACUGGGCGUAAAGAGUCCGUAGACUGUACUGUAAGUUAUUUGUUAAAUCCUAAAGCCCAACUUUAGAGCAGCAUUUAAUACUACUUUACUUGAGUUUUGUUCGGAAGAGUAGAAUUCCACGUUUAGGGAUAAUCCCCGUAGAUAUGUGGAGGAACACCAUUAGCGAAGGCGACUCUUUGGUAAAAACUGACGUUGAGAGACGACAGCUAGGGGAGCAAAUGGGAUUAGAUA